Molecule: small RNA, 230 nt
Filed under: Caenorhabditis elegans
Lineage: Eukaryota; Metazoa; Nematoda; Chromadorea; Rhabditida; Rhabditidae
Description: Unclassified non-coding RNA Y39F10B.2
Source: RNAcentral
GCUUCAACGCCUACGACACAUCAGCCCAGAACAAUGGUCCAUCCCGUCCUCCAUCGUCAUUUUCGUCCAAUCAGAAUCCAUUUGCCGAUUCCAUUUCACCAGAAGCUCCACAAGCUCAGCCAGUUGCAGCCGCCCGUCGCCAGAGCACAACCACGCCGACUGGAAGAUUUGGUGGAAUUGGAGCAAUUACCGGAGCAGCCACGUUGCCCCAUGCGAUGACGUCACCUGUG